Molecule: unclassified non-coding RNA, 388 nt
Filed under: Bombus terrestris (buff-tailed bumblebee)
Lineage: Eukaryota; Metazoa; Arthropoda; Insecta; Hymenoptera; Apidae
Description: misc RNA ENSBTSG00005025400.1
Source: RNAcentral
AACGAACGUUGCCUACUGACCGACAACCCAUGGUCACCGGAUGACCGAUUAUCCCGAUGAAUCGGACCCAGGAUCGAGCAGAUGCACGAUUUUCUUUCGGUUUCCAUUCGCGCAACAUUGAAUCAGGAGCCUCAGAAAGGGAGGAACGCGGUAGGAUCGGGGAUCACAAUGAGCGAUCGUUAUGCGUAUUCAAAAUGGCCUUACCUGGCCAGGGUGUAGCCAGAGCCUAUUGUUGACCCUCUACUUUCUACGAAAACGCAGUCGAUUGUGCAAACCGAGCUCACGUGCAACUGCGAGACGAUACGAUGAAACCAGCCCUUAUGCUUCUUUCAGCUUCCGGACCAUGAGAAAAGGUUAACUACUCGUACGAAUAUCUACCACAUUCCAU